GUAAUAUUUUGGCUGUUUUUGGUCAGUGCCUUUACCACUUUGAGCAUGAGAAGACCAAAGUGGAUGUGCUUUGCAGAUCGAAGUCUCUGUGCUUGUGCGGCCAUUGCAUUCCAUCAUCCAGUAUCUUUUCUCAGCGUCCCUUUUCCUUUCUGCUGUUCACAGAUGAGCCUGCAGGCUUCACUGGUUCCUGCCAGCCAUGGCAGGCACUCCUGCUCAUGAGCCCUUAAUGAUGCUAUCGGUCAGCCUCACAUUAUCUCCAGAACAUGAGCUUCAUUAUCCUUGUCCAAGCAGGAAAGUGCCACUCACACGAAAUGCUGAAUCCAAAAGGGCUGAAAGUAUUUCUUGCUAAGUAAGGGAGAGCUGUGCCUGGAGGACGCUGUCACCUGAACAAGGUUCACUCAUCUAUGAAGGCAGCAGUUUACAUGAGGAUCAGGCUGCAGUUCCAGGUCCACCAGCAUCUCUGAAGUGUGCUCUCUUCAGGAGAGGUACACUGCUGGACAGGAAUGACACAGGGUGAAGAAUGCCCUGAACUCAGAGAAGAAUGGUCUUGGACAGAGACCCUGAGGGCUCUCAGCAUCAGCAUCUUCAGCAGGAAUCUUUGAUGUCUUUAUCCAGCCCGUAAUACAUUCUAGGUGCCCUUGGAGACCCCCAGAAGACAGAAUGAUGGAAACAAAAAGGGAAAGUUGUCCACAGGGACCUUCUGCUUCAGUGGAGAAACUAGACAACUGAGUGGAGGAGAAUGCUGUGUGAUUGGUCAGUACAGGUUCCCUGUGCAUAUCCUGGGGCUCUGUGUGAAGAGAUAACACAAUGAAGUCAUCAUUCCUGGCAUGGCCCCCCAGAGAGGAGCUCCUUGGUGGAGAAGAAGUCAGGACCACAAAGAGGAUGAACUUCCACUUGCUUCAUAUAGGGCCGCACCCUGGCAGGCUGAAACUUAAAAACUGAAAGAUGUUCCAGCACAUGAUUUGUAAGGACAACACAUCUUUACCCUUUGGGAUUUUGAAUCCUGGGAGAAGAGACAGACGUGAAAAAAAUCACUGAACUAUGUGCACAGUCUUGUUUUAAAAUCCUCUGUGAGCAAAACUGAGCAAGGAAGAGAGGUAUGAGAAGUUUGUGUGUCCCCAGAGUCUCCUGGGUGGGUGAGUAUCACAGUUCCUCCAGGUUUGAAAGAAGAGUGGGGCUAGGGAGAUGGAUGGUAUAGGCACACAUCCCAGAUAGGUGGUAGGUAGGUAGAUAGAUAGACAGACAAACAAACAAAUAAAUAUAUCCUAUAGAUGGGCACAAAAUCCCAAUGUACUUUCAUCAUGAGUCCACCACAGAUGGUGGGUGGGUAGAGAUAAAGAAUGCCUUCUCUAUGCACCCAGUCCAGAUAUAGCUCCUUUAUCCUUCUAGGAUGGAACCAUUUUGAAGAUAUGAUCUCCAAGGUAGGCAUAGAAGGGGCUUAGAGAGGAUAGACAUGGGGCUCAGUUACAGGGCCUCAAGGAAUUGGUGUAUCACUACUGUCCUACUUGGUAAGGUGGUGUCAUAAGGCUCUAGGCUCUAGUACUAUGACAUGAGAUAUGUGUUCUUUCUGCAUUCCCAGUGGUGAUGCUGAUGAUUUUUAAACAUGUGGCAAACGUGCUGCACCGUCUCCGAAGGGGAAGGUAGGGGACUUCAGUCUAGGCAAAGCCUCAAAAGAAAAAGAACUGGAUGUGCGGGCAACAUGGUGACAUUCUGGUUAUGGUCAUGGUUGAGGUUGCACAAUAGAAGGCUAAGAAUAGAUGAAGGUGGGCACAGAGCUAUGUGGAACACAAGUAAUGGGCACUUUGGAUACUCCCUUGGACAAUGAUUGGCAAUAGAGGUGUGAAAAUCAAAAUAGGCAUGGCCAUUUUAGUGCACAGAUGGCAACCCACCAGCACCAUCUGAAGACACAGGCUGGCAAUGGGGUUGCCUUUAGAAGCCUAUCACAAAAGAUCUUGUAGACAAGGGCAUUUGGGGUUUAUAUAGUCAGGCAUCAUGGAGGGAGAUAAGUGGACAGCUUCAAAUAUUUCCAUUUAGAGAGACAGACCAGAUGUUAGAACAUGACAGGAAAAGAUCACUGAGAAACAGAGAGGUAACUACUAAAAGUAAAUCCUGGUCUCAUAUCCCCCAAAGAACCCAUAAUUUCCAUCAUCACCUUCAUUGCAAUCAUUACUAUCACCAUGAUCAUUGCUUUUGGUACCAUCAUCAUCUCUAUCACCAUUACCAUCAACAUCAUAAUCACCAUCAUCAUCCCUACCACAACCAUCACUACCAAUAUCAUUAUCAUUGUCACCACUACCACCAUCAUCCCCAAGAGUAUCAUCCAUCAUUCCCAUCAUCAUCAUCAUCAUCAUCAUCAUCAUCAUCAUCACUAUUAUCACUGCUACCAACAUCAUCACCAUCAUCAUCUCCAUCACCACCACUAUCAACAUCAUCAUCACCAUAAUCAUCCCCAUCACCACCAUUACCACCAAUAUCAUUAUCAUUGUCAUCAUCACCAUUUUUCCCACCAAUAUCAUUAUUCCCAUCACCAUCCUCAGUUAUCAACAUCAUCACCCUCAUUGUCAUCACCACAUUAUCAUCAUCAUCACCACCAGCACCACUACCACCAUCAUCAUCAUCAUCACCACUACCACAACAACAUCAUCGAUGUCAUUGUCACCACCAUUAUUUUCAGGAGAAAGAUGUUCAGAGGAAAGGCUGGUGAUAAGCAGAUGCAGCUGGUCUAAAACUGAAGAGCACAAGUCCUCUUCAUAUUGCCAGGCAUGAUCCUCCCUGGAUCCACUUCUACAUUCUCUCUCUGUGACAUUUCAUCCUAUCCCUUUGCCAAAUUAAAUCCAUGUAGGCCAGCAUCUAGAGGUCUGUAUAGCUUGGAUCUUGCCUUUAAAUUCAAAACUAGCAUUUUUGGUGACCAACUAGAAAACACAACUUGGGGAUAUCCUGGUAGCACCUCUGGUAUCUGUACAGCACUGUCUGGAAGCUUCCUUCAAACCUGUGCUCUUCUUCCCCCAAAAUAGAGACCCCUCCUUAAGCCACAUCAUUGAUGACCACAUCCUGGAGUCCUGGGCCUGUUUUCUUACUGGCCUCUCUUCUGUCACUAUUCCUCCCCAUAAUCAUGCUGAUGCCUUUUUCUAGCUAUUAUGACUUUAUAGCUGGGAUGACAAAUUCCCUGGGUUACUGACACAAUACUUGGUCUCUCCAACAUAAUUUCUGCAAAACAGCCAGAUGACCUUUUAAAAAUGCAGUUGGACAGUCUUGAUCAUGCUAUUCUGGUCUCAGCAUCCCUAAAGAGUUCCCAUCACUCCUCAGUGAAAUCCCAUUGGGACUCUGACUUAGCUAGAACUCUUCUAUAUUGUGCUCCGGGUGAGGGUGACCCAGGGCUAACCAUGCAUCUCCCCAAUGAGCUGGGGUCCUUCCUGCCUGAGAUUUGUGCUUGCUGUUUGAAAUGUUCCUCAGUGUGCCUCUCUUCACUUUUCCACAGAACUCUGUUGCCUUCUGGAAGCUAUUUCUGACCUUCCAGAUGAAUGUGGACCCCUGGAAUGCUCUUGCCCAGAACUCUUUACUAAAAGUGACUACAAUGAGCAGCAAACAGGCACCUGUGUGGUUGACAUUUUCCUGUGACUAGAAACUCAGGAAGGACCUGGAUGCCCUGUGACCUUCCUUACUACUAAAUUCGCCAUUUUAAAAAUCAUGGCUGUGGGGCUGGGAGGGUUAAUUAGUGGGUAAGAACAGUUGCUGUGCUAGCCAAAACCUGAGUUAAAAUCCUUAUUACCCUUGACUGCAUGUACCUGUCACUUCAGCAUUGGCAGCAGGGAGAGAUGGGUCUGGGAAGCUCUCUGGACAUCCUGCCUAACUGAAAUCAUGGGUUUCAGUUAAAUGAGAGACCCUGUCUGAAGGGAAUAAGGCAAGGAGUGAAAGAAGAAGAUAUCUGAUGUCUUCUUGUAUACCCAUGUGCAAACAUUUUGUGUGUGUGUGUAUGUGUAUGUGAUGACAAGACACACAGUGGAAAGAGGUCACAUGCAAUUAAGAUCAACAAGGUCCUAGAAUUUUCUCUGAGGUGUUAAAAACAAAAUUUAAGGAAUGGUUAAAAGAAUAGGAAGAUUAAAGGAAAUGUAGAUUGAUAAAAUACAUGUAAUGGAUAUAAAAAGAAUCCAGAGAAUAAUUUAAUCAUUAACAAAUGUUAAGAAUAAAUACAAAACAGAAAAUCCAAUAUAUCAGGAAGUAAUAUACCACAGGAAUAUAUGCACUUGUUCAGGUGUGAUUUCUUCAAAUGUGAAAGUGUAGGAGAAAGGCAAAAAGCUAGAAAAACACACAAGUGUGUCAACAAUAGUAGAAAGCUGCUAUAGGCAAACCAGUGUUAAAUGAGGAAAGUGGGGUUUAGGUCAAGAAAAUGCAUUGGAAAUGCAAGGAUACAGGUUUAAUAAUGGCAAAAGUGUCACACAGGAGGAGGACACCCCAGCAUCAUAGUGACCAGGCAGGGAUGCUACUUCAAAAUGAGCAGAGCAGUACUUAGAGAUGGACCAUGGUGAUGGACCAUGGUGGGAAAUACAGCAGAAUCUUUUCAGCAACAGCCAUGACCAGCAGCAGUAACUCGGGCCAGACUGUAGGGGACUCAAACUGGAGGAAGCAGUAUGGGCCAAGAGUAUCUAUAAAUACUGUCUCUGAGGGUAGCACACCCAGAGGUUGUUCCUGAGGACACUGGGGCCAUUUGCCAAACCUCCUUUCAUCUGGAAUGAAAACCAAUUAUGAACUCUCUAAUUCAUAAUGGGGGUUUUGAGUAGACUUUGUAUCAGUCAAAUCAAAGGAGCACUCAGAAAUAACAACAUCACUAUAGGAUUCCCAACAUCUGGAAUUUAAAAUAACAAACUCUGAGAAAUGAAAUGUAUGUACUGAUCUGAAUAAAAAUAAAAUGC
This is a non-coding RNA of Peromyscus maniculatus bairdii (prairie deer mouse), 4910 nucleotides long. The record is from RefSeq and is a predicted model, not a curated record. Lineage: Eukaryota; Metazoa; Chordata; Mammalia; Rodentia; Cricetidae.